Carica papaya (papaya) is the source of this 1450-nucleotide RNA transcript. It is a transcript of the gene named chromogranin (DUF1639), with no coding region annotated. NCBI's taxonomy places the organism in Eukaryota, Viridiplantae, Streptophyta, Magnoliopsida, Brassicales, Caricaceae. The record is from RefSeq and is a predicted model, not a curated record.
CACCUCUCUCUCUCUCUCUCUCUCUCUAACAAAACAUCGGCUUCCCCUGGUUUCAUCUCACCACCCUCUUGCUCCUCCCUCUCUUUUUCUCUCUAGGGUUUCUCUCUCAUCACUCAUCACAAACACCAUCAUCGCUCUGUUACCCAGAUAGAAGCCUUCAUCUGCAUCAGUAUAUGUGAUUGAAUAUUUGAUGUGUGUGUAGGUUUUGUAUGUAAAUGCAAUGGCAACCGCACCUGUGAAGUCGCAGCCUCUUCACAACUUCUCUCUCUCCUUCCUCAAGUGGGGAACCCAUUCCACCACAACUGCUACCGCUACUUCAUCGCCCAACUCCCAACGCCGCCAAUCGGAACCAGACCCAGACUCCGAUUCUGACCGCGCUCAUCUCUCCGCCGUCAGGACUUCGCGAGUGGGAUCCCGCUCUACCCGCGUCCACCGCUUUUCGUUCUCCUCUCUUACUCCAUCUUCUUCCUCCGCUAGACCCGCUGGCCAAACCCAGAACACCCAGAAAGAGGUUACGGCUUUGGGGGAACAGGAAGGGGACAAACCGGUAAAGGAGGAACAGGACGUAGAAGGUGAGGAGGAAGAGGAGGGGGCCGUGCAGAGGCCCUGGAAUUUGAGGCCUAGAAGAGGACCUGCUUGCUCUACCAAAAAUGGGGUGUUGCAGGAGAUGUUCGGCGGCGACUGUGGAGCUCAAGAGGGGAAGCAGAGAGCGGGUAGCAUGGAGCCCAAAUCGAUGAGACUCAGGGGAUUAGCAGCGGAAUCAGCAGGCGCGGCGGGAGGUGACAGGAAAAAGGAGAAGUUGAAGUUUUGGAUUUCGCUCUCGAGGGACGAGAUUGAGGAAGACGUCUUCAUCAUGACGGGUUCCAGGCCGGCCCGCAGGCCCAAGAAACGUCCCAAGAUUGUGCAGAAACAGCUCGAUAAUGUUUUUCCUGGAUUGUGGUUGGUGGGAAUGACGGCUGAUUCUUAUAGAGUUGCCGAUCCUCCUGUUAAGAAGUAUUUUCAUAUGUCUCUUGAUGCCUGUGAGCUGGUACUGGAACUCUAAUCUUGCUUCUUGCAGAUAUAGAUCUGCUCACCUAUACUCGGGUUUCCUAAUACUGAGAGAUAGAUAUGGUGGUGAUACAUUUGGAGUAGCUAGGAGAGAAAGGAAAGCGGCUUCUAGAGCAGUGAGACCUCAAUUUUAGGUAUAAUGAAAUGGAUUCUGUAAAAAGGAAAAGAUGUCACUCAUAAGGAAAAAAAAGUAAAUAUGAAAAAAAUAUAUAUUGUCUCUUUUGUUUUCCAUUUGAGUUGCACAAAAGGGUAGGAACGCAGGACAGAGUAGAAUUUAUUUAUCCUUGUUGGCAAUUUUCAGAUGUAAGACAUGCAUGACAGAAAUUUGGAUGAACAGAUGAAUUUCCAAUGGUUUUUUUUUAAUCUCCAGUUCCGUGUGAAUGGUAAUGUUAUCUCUCGAGAA